RNAcentral lists this ribosomal RNA (583 nucleotides) under uncultured bacterium. Its description in RNAcentral is "bacterial SSU rRNA". It matches the Rfam family "Bacterial small subunit ribosomal RNA", at positions 102 to 681 of the family's 1533-position model. The record is from RNAcentral.
ACGGGUGAGUAAUGCCUAGGAAUCUGCCUGGUAGAGGGGGACAACGUUUCGAAAGGAACGCUAAUACCGCAUACGUCCUACGGGAGAAAGCAGGGGACCUUCGGGCCUUGCGCUAUCAGAUGAGCCUAGGUCGGAUUAGCUAGUUGGUGAGGUAAUGGCUCACCAAGGCGACGAUCCGUAACUGGUCUGAGAGGAUGAUCAGUCACACUGGAACUGAGACACGGUCCAGACUCCUACGGGAGGCAGCAGUGGGGAAUAUUGGACAAUGGGCGAAAGCCUGAUCCAGCCAUGCCGCGUGUGUGAAGAAGGUCUUCGGAUUGUAAAGCACUCUAAGUUGGGAGGAAGGGUUGUAGAUUAAUACUCUGCAAUUUUGACGUUACCGACAGAAUAAGCACCGGCUAACUCUGUGCCAGCAGCCGCGGUAAUACAGAGGGUGCAAGCGUUAAUCGGAAUUACUGGGCGUAAAGCGCGCGUAGGUGGUUUGUUAAGUUGGAUGUGAAAUCCCCGGGCUCAACCUGGGAACUGCAUCCAAAACUGGCAAGCUAGAGUAUGGUAGAGGGUGGUGGAAUUUCCUGUGUAGCGG